Non-coding RNA from Cinara cedri, 735 nucleotides. The record is from the annotation of a GenBank genome assembly. NCBI's taxonomy places the organism in Eukaryota, Metazoa, Arthropoda, Insecta, Hemiptera, Aphididae.
CACCUGGAAACGUGCUUACCGACGUGAAAAUCGUACAAUGUGUUCUUGCCUUUAAGUGUCUGAUAGUAACCCAAUUCAACAGCACAAAAUUGGAUCUAUCAAACGAACAUUUGACAUUUUCCAAUUUUCAAAAUUAGUCCGCAACAUAGACAUGAGAUGAAUAAUCGUCCCCCCGUAGGAAUUACGUCCGUUUUACGGGACACUAAUAGUUAUGCGGGUUUUUCGUAUUAUGGCGGUGGUACAGAAAACGAUAUAUUCAUUUAAUAUACAUUUAAAAAAAAAACUAAUUCUGAAAAAAAAACCGGCGUUACAAUAACCCCGAUGAAAUAAACCCCUCGCCGCCAUAGUUUACCCAGGGGAUAUAAUGUAAUUUCUCUAGUUAAAUUUUACCGCGGAGUGGUAAACAGCACGGGGGUCAAUAUUCGUGGUUACACCGGAAAUCCUUAUAGACUAGAUCAUAUAUAACGAGCCGAAACGACCGAUUGGUUGUCAUGACGAAUACGAUAGCGUGAUAAUUAUUUAGGACUGCCAUUUAUAUCAGAAUAAUAACCGGGACAUUCAAUUUUAGAAAAUAGUCCCUCCCACUCUAAUUGUCAAAUUAAGGCUUGAAAGUUUAAGCUUAAGGUUUGAAAGUACUUGAUAGUUGUGAUUAUUUAUAACGCCUGGAACCCGAAAUGUGAAUAUCGAAACUAAAUUCGAUUAUUUUUUGGUAAAACUGAAAUUUUUCAAGACCCU